UCUGGUAAUGAUGGAAGAGAGGCCCCCCCCGUUCCCAUAUCGAACACGGAAGUUAAGCUCUCUAGCGCCGAUGGUAGUUGGGACCUUGUCCCUGUGAGAGUAGGACGUUGCCAGGC
This 116-nucleotide ribosomal RNA is filed under the name Bacillus cereus. Lineage: Bacteria; Bacillati; Bacillota; Bacilli; Caryophanales; Bacillaceae. The record is from RNAcentral.